Molecule: long non-coding RNA, 438 nt
Filed under: Olea europaea (common olive)
Lineage: Eukaryota; Viridiplantae; Streptophyta; Magnoliopsida; Lamiales; Oleaceae
Description: long non-coding RNA (OEUR_LNC007920)
Source: RNAcentral
CUGAACCAGUUAAAAUUGUAACCAAAUAAGAGAAAUAGAAAAGGGAAGGGGAAAAUGAGAAAAUAAAAAGAAUGGGAAAGAGGAAGCUGUUGAACGAUUUCAACAAUUGCACUGAAAAUAUCCAAUUACACACACCGAUCCUUUCAUCUUUGCACAUGGAGGUAUAUGAACACGGAUGCAUCAAAGUCNAUUGCACUGAAAAUAUCCAAUUACACACACCGAUCCUUUCAUCUUUGCACAUGGAGGUAUAUGAACACGGAUGCAUCAAAGUCGUGUUUCACAAAAUUAACAAUAAAGAAACGUUUCCAACUAAUUCAAUUAUUGAGGCCAAAACGACACCGUUCCGUUUAAUCCAUACGACACAAUUUUGGUUUAAAGGGUAGAUUAAACUGUUGGAGCUUCAUUCUUCUUCUUCCCCUUUCUUUUCUUCUGGUUCAG